UCCAGUGAAAGAUGUUGUGGGCGUUCCGUGAUGACGUAGUAGAUAUGUUCUGCGUGCUGCAGUUCCUCUCUGUUUGCUCUUACGAGACUCUAGCUCUCCGUCUUCUUCACGGCCACAAGGUCAAGCAAAGGUGCGGAAGGGCUUUCCCAUUUCACAUGGCCUUACACUGAGGUGUCUAGUGGCCUCCAGCUCAGGGCUGUCCAUGUGAGAAGUGAAUCUGAGAGGAUAAGAGCAGACACUUAAAGAAGAGUUUACCACAGAGCAUGGCCUCUGGCAAAGAAGAUGGAGUGGAUGAAAGAACAGUGGACAUUAAAGAAGAGGACUGUGAGCGGCUCACACCAGAGGAACUGUGUGUAAAGCUGGAGGAUCACGAAGAAAGAAUUUCAGUUUUUAAAGAAGAGGAGGAGUGCAAGGAGGUGACUGCUGCCAUUAAAACUGAGGAUAUGAAUAAUUUCUCCAUUGGUCUUGAACUUCAAAAGCAUGAAACUGAGGAUAUUUUCAAGCAAGAUGCCUGUGAAGAAACUCCAUCCAGUUUACAUCCCUGGUCCACUAAUACGGGACGACUGGCUAUGCAGGAGAAUUCUACAGAGUUGAAAUCAGAAUUAUCAGAGUCUGAAGAGAAAAUCACCGAGGGAAAUGGGAGAGAAGGAGAAGAGUCACCUGGGAGUAUUGGAAUAAAUUUACAGAAGAAUGGCAGUUUCUCACCACCUUCAUUUGGUCAGCCCUCUCUUCAAUAUGAUGAGAAAGGUAUGAAGAAAUCAGCAAGAGGAUCAGAGAACCUGACAGCAGCCUUUUUGCAGUGCAGUUCUCUCCCUUUUACUGGAGUAACACAGACAGAAGCCAUCAAAACUGAUCGACAGCAAGUGGAGAAAGAAAUCCAAAUUCACACUGGAAAAAAAUGUUGUUUGGAAUGUGGCAAACAAUUCACACACAAAAGUGGUCUUAAUAAGCAUAUGAAGAUUCACACAAGAGAAAAAACUUCUUGUCCAGAAUGUGGUAAGUCAUUUUCAAGGAGAAGCGAUCUUCAGAGCCACAGAAAAAUCCACACAGGAGAAAAACCUUAUUGUUGUCCAGAAUGUGACAAACAAUAUUCUGACAAACGCAGUUUUAAAAGGCACACGCAAAGUCAUACUGGAGAGAAAAAGCAGUAUGUAUGUUCUGAAUGUGGCAAAUGUUAUACAAGCCAGAAAAGUCUUAAUACACAUGCUAAAAUCCAUACUGAAGAAAAAUCUUAUGGCUGUUCUGAAUGUGGGAAACGAUUCUUACAUAUAGGUCCACUUCAGCGUCACAUCAGAACUCAUACUGGAGAGAAACCUUUUUGUUGUCCUGAAUGUGGUAAGAAUUUCUCAGAACAAAGCACCCUAAAGAUUCAUAUUAGACUUCACACCGGAGAAAAACCUUACAAUUGCUUGGAAUGUGACAAACAAUUUUCACGCCUAAGUUCUCUUUAUAGUCAUAGGAGAAGUCACACUGGAGAGAAGCCUUACAGUUGUACUGAAUGUGGAAUGCGAUUCUCGUAUAACAGUUCUCUUCACAAACAUAAAGUAAUUCAUUCUGGUAAGAAACACAGCUGUUCUGAGUGUGGCAAGCUUUUUUCAGACAGCAGGACUCUUAAAGAUCACUUGAGAAUUCACUCUGGAGAGAAACCUUUUUGCUGUCCAGAGUGUGGCAAACGAUUCUCACGUCAAAGCACGCUUAAGAGCCACAAAAGGAUCCACACUGGAGAGAAGCAGUACAUCUGUUCUGACUGUGGCAAGCUUUUCUCAGAAGGCAUGUCUCUUAAAUAUCACAUGAGAAUUCACUCUGGAGAGAAACCCCAUUCCUGUCCAGAAUGUGGCAAACGAUUCUCACAUCCAAAAACACUUAGGUGCCACAGAAGGAUCCACUCUGGACAGAAGCAGUACACCUGUUCUGAAUGUGGAAAAGGGUACUCAUCAAGAAAAAGUUUUCGAAGACACACACAAAGUCAUAUUGGAGUAAAGUCUGUCCCAGAAAUGACAAAUGAUCUUUCUAUUGAAUCCUCAGUCAUAAAAAAAUAAAGAAAAAUCUUUUGAAUGUGGUAAAGGACUCCAGUUGAAAGUAGUUAAUAACUACAUAAGAAUAGUGGAGAAAACACUGAAGGUAGCAAUCAGAUUUUAGAUGUAAGGUAACCUCGGAACCACAUAUGAAUUCACACUGGAGUGAACACACUGGAAUACAACACGUAUUUCACAAACAACAGGAAUCUUCUUCAACAACUUCUAGGUGCAAGAAAAAAACCUCAUUGUUGUCCUAAAUGUGGUCAACACUUUUCAGACAGCAGUGGUCUUCAUAGUCAUAAAUGACUGGCCUACUUGUGGUAAGCCUCUUAGCUGUUCUGAAUGUUGAAAGUGGUCCUCCUGUAUCAGCUGUCAUCAGCAACAUGUAAGAUUUCAUGAAGGACUCAGAAACUGUACUGUCAGGACAUCAGCCAUUCAGGGACUGAUCAUCUCUGCACCAGUGCUGUGACAUAAUAUGGUGAACAAUACAAACACCAGACAACAGAAUGAGGUAGCAACAGAACUGUGCGGUGAUAACAACUUCAACUACAGAACACAACUGAAAAAGUUCAAUGUAAUAAUGAAAAAAUGGAGAAGUCAAAUCAAAUCCACAGUGCAGUGCCAACUACCAGGAGGUGCCACUGACAACGAAGGGAUAGUUUUUUUUCGGAGCUUUGGAGAUGGGGCCUUAUCUGAGUAGCAAUGAACUUGUACCGUCUGAGAAAGAAAGAAA
Molecule: RNA transcript, 2751 nt
Organism: Erpetoichthys calabaricus (reedfish)
Lineage: Eukaryota; Metazoa; Chordata; Cladistia; Polypteriformes; Polypteridae
Gene name: gastrula zinc finger protein XlCGF26.1-like
Exons: 4
Source: RefSeq, a predicted model, not a curated record